AACGUAGGUACCGAGCGUUAUCCGGAUUCACUGGGCGUAAAGCGCGUGCAGGUGGUUUGGUAAGUCGGGCAUGAAAACUCUUGGCUCAACUGAGAGACGCUGUCCGAUACUGUCGAACUUGAGGGUGUAAGAGGGAGGUGGAAUUCCGCAUGUAGUGGUGAAAUGCGUAGAUAUGCGGAGGAACACCAGUGGCGAAGGCGGCCUCCUGGUACACUCCUGACACUCAGACGCGAAAGCUAGGGGAGCGAACGGGAUUAGAAACCCCAGUAGUCC
RNAcentral lists this ribosomal RNA (273 nucleotides) under uncultured bacterium. Its description in RNAcentral is "partial 16S ribosomal RNA". It matches the Rfam family "Bacterial small subunit ribosomal RNA", at positions 524 to 796 of the family's 1533-position model. The record is from RNAcentral.